RNAcentral lists this ribosomal RNA (700 nucleotides) under uncultured bacterium. RNAcentral's name for it is "bacterial SSU rRNA". It matches the Rfam family "Bacterial small subunit ribosomal RNA", at positions 94 to 829 of the family's 1533-position model. The record is from RNAcentral.
AGUGGCGCACGGGUGAGUAACGCGUGGGAAUGUACCGUUUAGUGGGGGAUAACCAAGGGAAACUUUGGCUAAUACCGCAUACGCCCUUCGGGGGAAAGAUUUAUCGCUAAACGAUCAGCCCGCGUGAGAUUAGGUAGUUGGUGGGGUAAUGGCCUACCAAGCCGACGAUCUCUAGCUGGUCUGAGAGGAUGAUCAGCCACACUGGAACUGAGACACGGUCCAGACUCCUACGGGAGGCAGCAGUGGGGAAUAUUGGACAAUGGGGGCAACCCUGAUCCAGCCAUGCCGCGUGAGUGAUGAAGGCCUUAGGGUUGUAAAGCUCUUUUACCGAUGAAGAUAAUGACGGUAGUCGGAGAAAAAGCCCCGGCUAACUUCGUGCCAGCAGCCGCGGUAAUACGAAGGGGGCUAGCGUUGUUCGGAUUUACUGGGCGUAAAGCGUGCGUAGGUGGUCUCGUAAGUCAGUGGUGAAAUCCCGGAGCUUAACUCCGGAACUGCCAUUGAAACUGCGAGGCUUGAAUCUCAAAGGGGGUGGCGGAAUUCCUAAUGUAGGGGUGAAAUCCGUAGAUAUUAGGAGGAACACCGAUGGCGAAGGCAGCCACCUGGGUGAGUAUUGACACUGAGGCACGAAAGCGUGGGGAUCAAACAGGAUUAGAUACCCUGGUAGUCCACGCCAUAAACGAUGAAUGCUAGUUGUUGGGGG